RNAcentral lists this ribosomal RNA (464 nucleotides) under Vreelandella stevensii. RNAcentral describes it as "partial 16S ribosomal RNA". It matches the Rfam family "Bacterial small subunit ribosomal RNA", at positions 338 to 794 of the family's 1533-position model. The record is from RNAcentral. Lineage: Bacteria; Pseudomonadati; Pseudomonadota; Gammaproteobacteria; Oceanospirillales; Halomonadaceae.
CCUACGGGUGGCAGCAAUGGGGAAUAUUGGACAAUGGGCGAAAGCCUGAUCCAGCCAUGCCGCGUGUGUGAAGAAGGCCUUCGGGUUGUAAAGCACUUUCAGUGGGGAAGAAAGCCUUGGGGCUAAUACCCUCGAGGAAGGACAUCACCCACAGAAGAAGCACCGGCUAACUCCGUGCCAGCAGCCGCGGUAAUACGGAGGGUGCGAGCGUUAAUCGGAAUUACUGGGCGUAAAGCGCGCGUAGGCGGUCUGAUAAGCCGGUUGUGAAAGCCCCGGGCUCAACCUGGGAACGGCAUCCGGAACUGUCAGGCUAGAGUGCAGGAGAGGAAGGUAGAAUUCCCGGUGUAGCGGUGAAAUGCGUAGAGAUCGGGAGGAAUACCAGUGGCGAAGGCGGCCUUCUGGACUGACACUGACGCUGAGGUGCGAAAGCGUGGGUAGCAAACAGGAUUAGAUACCCUAGUAGC